This 227-nucleotide long non-coding RNA is filed under the name Scleropages formosus (Asian bonytongue). Its description in RNAcentral is "lncRNA (ENSSFOG00015031708.1)". The record is from RNAcentral. Lineage: Eukaryota; Metazoa; Chordata; Actinopteri; Osteoglossiformes; Osteoglossidae.
GUCCAUCUGAGAAGUGCAUCUGAAAAGCAGUGUGACUGAAAUUUUGCUGAAUUGAUCCGCACAAAGCCGUCAUUCUGAGACACGCGGUGAGCUCAUUGGUAAGGAAUCGCACCGGGGGCCAUUCCCGGCCUCUGAUUGGCUGCCGAGGAUGACCAUUAGGGGUGAGGUCGCGGCCCCGCCAGGAGAGAACAUCGUGUGAAACACGGGUGUUUGCCUCGCCGGUGCCG